AACGAACGCUGGCGGCAUGCCUAACACAUGCAAGUCGAACGAGACCUUCGGGUCUAGUGGCGCACGGGUGCGUAACGCGUGGGAACCUGCCCUAAGGUUCGGAAUAACUCCCCGAAAGGGGUGCUAAUACCGGAUAAUGUCUUCGGACCAAAGAUUUAUCGCCUUUGGAUGGGCCCGCGUUGGAUUAGCUAGUUGGUAGGGUAAAAGCCUACCAAGGCGACGAUCCAUAGCUGGUCUGAGAGGAUGAUCAGCCACACUGGGACUGAGACACGGCCCAGACUCCUACGGGAGGCAGCAGUGGGGAAUAUUGGACAAUGGGCGAAAGCCUGAUCCAGCAAUGCCGCGUGAGUGAUGAAGGCCUUAGGGUUGUAAAGCUCUUUUACCCGGGAUGAUAAUGACAGUACCGGGAGAAUAAGCGCCGGCUAACUCCGUG
This 433-nucleotide ribosomal RNA is filed under the name uncultured bacterium. RNAcentral describes it as "partial 16S ribosomal RNA". It matches the Rfam family "Bacterial small subunit ribosomal RNA", at positions 29 to 507 of the family's 1533-position model. The record is from RNAcentral.